RNAcentral lists this long non-coding RNA (663 nucleotides) under Capsella grandiflora. Its description in RNAcentral is "long non-coding RNA (CGRA_LNC001721)". The record is from RNAcentral. Lineage: Eukaryota; Viridiplantae; Streptophyta; Magnoliopsida; Brassicales; Brassicaceae.
GAAAAUAAAAAUUCACUUGCCUCUCUAUCUUUCUGCAGUUGUGUAUGAUUUAUUAGAGAGAGAGAGAGAGAGACAGGAACAAGACGAAACAAUCUUUAGAACAAGAAAGGGAAACCAAAACAUACAAAGCACUGUUGUUUUAAAAGGGAGGUAAGAAAGAUCCAGAAGUAACCUCAAGAUCAGAAGCAACAAGAGCUAAUAUACCAGUUUUUUUAGUGAGAGAGAGUUGGGAAACAGGUUUUUAGAUCAUUAGAGAGAGGAAGCGAAAACAAAAAAAAGAGUCGCAGUGUUCUUUUUCAUCUCUGCUGAGCCUCAGACAAAGAGAGAUAGUGACAGUAGAUUUCGAAGAAUCUAUUUUGGAUUUGUUUUUUUGUUCUUUGGUUUUUAUAGCAAAAGAGAAAAGUCUGAUCAGGAUCCAUCUGAGGACUUGUGUAAUAGAUGUAUAUGGGUUAUGUACAUUGGAGCUCUGUGCUGUGAUUUCUUUUUUUUUUUUUUUUUAAUUUGUGGGAUUAGGGUUUUGGUUUAAUCAGCUGUGGCUACAACGAGGAGGAAUAAUCUACCAACGUCAGAUUCCGGUGCCUUCACCGACUGGGCGGCGGCGGCGACGACGACGACAUCUUCUCGUGCCACUGAGGAUCUAUCUCUUGGUUUCAAUGCUGGUCN